RNAcentral lists this microRNA (22 nucleotides) under Homo sapiens (human). Its description in RNAcentral is "hsa-miR-3152-3p". The record is from miRBase by way of RNAcentral. Lineage: Eukaryota; Metazoa; Chordata; Mammalia; Primates; Hominidae.
UGUGUUAGAAUAGGGGCAAUAA